GUUACUGAGGGUGAGGGAAGCCCUUCCAGCCAGUUGCCGGGAGCCCUGAAGACGCGGUGGCGGGGCGGCGGGGAGCAGGGCGGGAGUGCCCUGGACUCCGCGGAUUCCUUUGGGGCUGGAGGGCCGCACACGUGUUUUACUCCAACUGUUUGCAACUUUUGAAACCCGGGCAAUCUGGCUUUGGCAUUUGAAAACCAUUUCAAACAGGAGAGAUUCCAAGAAAUGAGGGGGGUACGUUGAAACGAUGAAGAAAGGAUGGACACAGCAGUCGAGGUUGAGAGGAUUCCAGGUGUCACCACAGCAGCUGAGAAAGGAAAGAACUUGGAAUUUAGCAUACGUCAGGUUUUAGAUGUGGAAAAGCCCCAAAAGAAGGAGUAGUACCUGUGGGCACAGAGGGCAAUAUGGAGAGAAUAGACAUUAUUCUAAUUCAGGAAAAGGAAAAAUAAUUUGAACCUUCAAAGUAGCCAAGGCUGCCAGUUUCCAGGAUGCUCCCUCUGCAUCUUCCCGGCUGGUGUUUCACCUGGUCUAGUUCCUGUGUCCCAGACUGGAGAAGUUCAAGGCAGAGAUCAUCUCUCUCCUAUCCAACCUUUGAAACCUCAAUACCAAAAACCAUGAACCAUGCCUUGUGUGGAGUGUGCACCAUACACAGUUGUUGAGUGAAUUGAUGAAGUGUGACAUGAAAUUGUUGAAUAAAUGGAUGAAGU
Molecule: long non-coding RNA, 704 nt
Filed under: Homo sapiens (human)
Lineage: Eukaryota; Metazoa; Chordata; Mammalia; Primates; Hominidae
Description: HSALNT0312272
Source: RNAcentral